CAGUCGCCACGGGAAUACGGAGGGUGCAAGCGUUGUCCGGAUUCACUGGGUUUAAAGGGUGCGUAGGUGGGCAGGUAAGUCAGUGGUGAAAUCUCCGGGCUUAACCCGGAAACUGCCGUUGAUACUAUCUGUCUUGAAUAUAGUGGAGGUGAGCGGAAUAUGUCAUGUAGCGGUGAAAUGCUUAGAUAUGACAUAGAACACCCAUUGCGAAGGCAGCUCGCUACACUAUUAUUGACACUGAGGCACGAAAGCGUGGGGAUCAAACAGGAUUAGAUACCCCCGUAGUCCCUGUCUCUUAUAC
This 301-nucleotide ribosomal RNA is filed under the name uncultured bacterium. RNAcentral's name for it is "partial 16S ribosomal RNA". It matches the Rfam family "Bacterial small subunit ribosomal RNA", at positions 509 to 807 of the family's 1533-position model. The record is from RNAcentral.